This is a small nucleolar RNA of Tachyglossus aculeatus (Australian echidna), 138 nucleotides long. The record is from RefSeq and is a predicted model, not a curated record. Lineage: Eukaryota; Metazoa; Chordata; Mammalia; Monotremata; Tachyglossidae.
UUCCUCUCAGGGUCACUCCUGGAGAGUUCCCCAUCCUCUACCAGUCUUGGCUAUGGGAGGGAGAGUCAAGCAGAGGCCUACCCAUUCCAUUCCUAGCUUGGGCAGCGGCUAGCGAGUGGAAGGCAAUCUGCUACAGGU